RNAcentral lists this ribosomal RNA (585 nucleotides) under uncultured bacterium. Its description in RNAcentral is "partial 16S ribosomal RNA". It matches the Rfam family "Bacterial small subunit ribosomal RNA", at positions 355 to 1375 of the family's 1533-position model. The record is from RNAcentral.
UGGGGAAUUUUGGACAAUGGGCGAAAGCCUGAUCCAGCAAUGCCGCGUGUGUGAAGAAGGCCUUCGGGUUGUAAAGCACUUUUGUCCGGAAAGAAAUCCUUGGCUCUAAUACAGUCGGGGGAUGACGGUACCGGAAGAAUAAGCACCGGCUAACUACGUGCCAGCAGCCGCGGUAAUACGUAGGGUGCAAGCGUUAAUCGGAAUUACUGGGCGUAAAGCGUGCGCAGGCGGUUUGCUAAGACCGAUGUGAAAUCCCCGGGCUCAACCUGGGAACUGCAUUGGUGACUGGCAGGCUAGAGUAUGGCAGAGGGGGGUAGAAUUCCACGUGUAGCAGUGAAAUGCGUAGAGAUGUGGAGAAAUACCGAUGGCGAAGGCAGCCCCCUGGGCCAAUACUGACGCUCAUGCACGAAAGCGUGGGGAGCAAACAGGAUUAGAUACCCUGGUAGUCCACGCCCUAAACGAUGUCAACUAGUUGUUGGGGAUUCAUUUCCUUAGUAACGUAGCUAACGCGUGAAGUUGACCGCCUGGGGAGUACGGUCGCAAGAUUAAAACUCAAAUGAAUUGACGGGGUCAUAGCUGUUUCCU